GGGGAUUUAGCUCAGCGGUAGAGCGUUUGCCUAGGAAGCGCAAGGCCCUGGGUUCGGUCCCCAGCUCCG
Molecule: non-coding RNA, 69 nt
Organism: Rattus norvegicus (Norway rat)
Lineage: Eukaryota; Metazoa; Chordata; Mammalia; Rodentia; Muridae
Source: Rfam